GCCGUGAGCUUCUGUGCAUGAUGAGCCAGAGCAGGACUGGAGGAGUCGUCGGAAGAUUCAGAGGAGUUGGACCAAACUGUGCCGUUGUCCAUUUCCCCCUGCCGCUUCAGCAGAGACUAGAAAUUAAGCAAAGCAAAAGACACACCGACUGUACUGAGCUGAAUCUGGGACUGGUACAGAAGAAAUCCCGUUGCGGGGAUGCCGUCUUGUCCUUCUCAACAUUGUGGAACGUCUGCACCACCGAGCAGCUUGGUCUGGGCCUGCCAUGAGGCGCACUCUUCAGCGAGGUGAGGAAGAGGAGGGACAUGAGGCACACUACUCAACCACUAUUAAACAGCUACAAGGACCACAGCUUCGUUCAAACGUACUGCGACUGUCACACAACCCAUGAUGGCUAUCAUUCAUUCUCC
This is a long non-coding RNA of Cynoglossus semilaevis (tongue sole), 410 nucleotides long. RefSeq lists it as uncharacterized. The record is from RefSeq and is a predicted model, not a curated record. The transcript has 2 exons. Lineage: Eukaryota; Metazoa; Chordata; Actinopteri; Pleuronectiformes; Cynoglossidae.